RNAcentral lists this transfer RNA (76 nucleotides) under Campylobacterota bacterium. RNAcentral's name for it is "Epsilonproteobacteria bacterium (mullusc metagenome) tRNA-Val". It matches the Rfam family "tRNA". Rfam says of the family: Transfer RNA (tRNA) molecules are approximately 80 nucleotides in length. Their secondary structure includes four short double-helical elements and three loops (D, anti-codon, and T loops). Lineage: Bacteria; Pseudomonadati; Campylobacterota. The record is from RNAcentral.
GGGCGCUUAGCUCAGUUGGUAGAGCGCUACCCUUACAAGGUAGAUGUCACUGGUUCGAGCCCAGUAGUGCCCACCA